This is a long non-coding RNA of Brassica napus (rape), 2066 nucleotides long. RefSeq lists it as uncharacterized. The record is from RefSeq and is a predicted model, not a curated record. The transcript has 3 exons. NCBI's taxonomy places the organism in Eukaryota, Viridiplantae, Streptophyta, Magnoliopsida, Brassicales, Brassicaceae.
UAAGAUACAAAUACAUGUGAAAGUUUGAAACAAUCUACUCAAUGAAAAAAAAUCUAUCUAUCUUCUAUAUGUAAAGAAAUGUUUGCCUUUCUCCUGUGAUGCCACGUCAUCCGCCAGCUAGAUAAGUCGAUCGAUUUUACGCCGACACGUGUCGAGCCUUCCAGAAACGCACAGCUUCAUUUAUUCUAAAUCUGAUGGGCUUUAAUUGUUUGCCCAGAGCGGCCCAAACAAACAAAGUUCGUUCCUAACCUUAAUUCUAGUGACGCGGAUUCUUCUCUCCUCUUCUUCAACGUGCCGACACGGUCACCUUCAUCUUUCGUAAACCGACAAUGGAAUUUGUUGAAGGUGAUGGGAGACGAGAUUUUAAAGCUGAUCUAAGUGGUGCUAAUCUGUUCGUGUCCUUAGAAUGAAUUUCUUUACGCCAGAUAAGAGAAAUUCGAACCGUUACGGGAUGCAAUCAAUCGUCGUCAUUAGUGAUCAUCUUAACUGCUUAAUUCCACUUUUACCACCAUGUAUAAAAAGUUACGCCUUAAUUCCGUAAACAUCAUCCUUUGAUUCUUUUCAUUCCUCACGACGACAGUAAAAACUUUUUUUUUGAGCAGAGUGGCUAACUUAUCUCUCCUUCUUCUUGACGCUCAGAUACCUCUGGUGAUGUUGAGAAACAAACGCCUCCCUUUUCCUUAAAGAUCUACAUAUAACGUUAGGAAUAGAGUUCAUGGUGUUCUGGAGUUUCUGGUUUCAUAACUAGAACAUGGAGUUUUGGGAAGGUGAUGGGAGACGACUAUUUACGGUGAAUCUCUGGAGUGAGCUGCCGUUAGUGUCGUUUGUUCUGGCAAAUGGAAACCCGAAUUAUGGGUUUUUAGUGUUUAAUCUAUCCUUGCAGUCCCGGAUUGCAAACUUUAUACGGAUCAUAGGAUUAUAAACUGAACCUGAUCAACAUGAGCCAAGCUAAUCACAUGAGAUCUUUGAGUGAGAGUCAAUACCUAUGGCAAGACAACUGAUUUUGCGUAUAAUUAUAUCAUCAUAUAAUUGAAAAUUUAAAACCUCAUGUUGGAGACAAAUUACAAUUAUAAAAAUGAGAUUCCUGUUGUUUUAUCUAACCUUGCAGGCCCAGAUUGUAGACUUUCAAAUGAAAGUUGUUCAAGUAGAUGUUACAGAAGUUUUCUGACAUAUGGAGUUGUGUUGGAAGCAUGCUGGUAGCUCACGAUUUGUCUCUCACUUUUAAGGAAAAAUAAAUACAGAUUUGAAUGGGAAUGUUCUGCUUAUACGGGUUUGACGAUCUUUGGAAUCUAUCAUGAUUAAAAGAGAAGUAUCGAAUAUUAUUGUGAGAGUGGUAGUUGGUAAACUUUUGCUGUCACGAAAGAUGAAUAUAGAGCUCUCACAUGUAAGACGCCAACAUAAACUAUAAUGUGAGUUUCUUCUUUUCUUUUAUUGUUCUUUCCACAUAUCUCUAAAUAUUCUAUGUUUUCUACGUUCUUACUAAUGCAACUCUUGGAUAAGAACCAUACAACAUGAAAGACUAGAUGUUUUAUGUUUUCCUCUGUUCUUAUCAGAAAAUGUAUUUUUCUUUCUAUUUUAGCUAAUUUAGAAUGGAAGGUUAGUUUGUUUAGAUCACUGAGGAAGCUAGAGAGCUUGAAAAGCAACUCAGACAGACCACUUAGGAGAAGAAUGAAGCUGUGCGAGGCCAAGACUUUGGGGAGGGGUUGUCUUCGAGUUUGUCUUACUGUCUAUAAACCCAAGAUAAGUGUUGUCCGAUAAAUCUAGCUGUCUUUUCCAAUAUUGAGCAGAGCCUCCACGCCGGUUAUUGGCCAACACGAAGCUGUCAAAGCCAUUAACCGGGAGAUUCGACGUGCAUGUGCUGGGCUCAAGAAUCCGAACCGCCCAAUCACAAGUUUCAUUUUAAAUGUUAAAACGAUUUUUCUUUAAAGUGUUCUAUGUACAUUAUAUUUUAUGUAAUUCUUUCAUGCUGCUUGAUCGUAGAUCUAAAACAUCACACUGGAUUGUGUUUCGCUGCAAACAGAUUUGUAAACUAUGCAUUUUAAAAAAUGUACUUAUCAUUUCUCAUA